Molecule: ribosomal RNA, 253 nt
Filed under: uncultured bacterium
Lineage: Bacteria
Description: partial 16S ribosomal RNA
Rfam family: Bacterial small subunit ribosomal RNA
Source: RNAcentral
UACAGAGGGUGCGAGCGUUAAUCGGAAUUACUGGGCGUAAAGCGUGCGUAGACGGUUACGUAAGUCGGGUGUGAAAGCCCCGGGCUCAACCUGGGAACUGCAAUGGAAACUGGCGGGCUUGAGUGUGGCAGAGGGGGGUGGAAUUCCGCGUGUAGCAGUGAAAUGCGUAGAGAUGUGGAGGAAUACCGAUGGCGAAGGCAGCCCCCUGGGAUAACACUGACGCUCAUGCACGAAAGCGUGGGGAGCAAACAGG